This 165-nucleotide ribosomal RNA is filed under the name Ostrya virginiana (American hop-hornbeam). RNAcentral describes it as "5.8S ribosomal RNA". It matches the Rfam family "5.8S ribosomal RNA". From Rfam's summary of the family: 5.8S ribosomal RNA (5.8S rRNA) is a component of the large subunit of the eukaryotic ribosome. It is transcribed by RNA polymerase I as part of the 45S precursor that also contains 18S and 28S rRNA. The record is from RNAcentral. Lineage: Eukaryota; Viridiplantae; Streptophyta; Magnoliopsida; Fagales; Betulaceae.
AUAACGACUCUCGGCAACGGAUAUCUCGGCUCUCGCAUCGAUGAAGAACGUAGCGAAAUGCGAUASUUGGUGUGAAUUGCAGAAUCCCGCGAAUCAUCGAGUCUUUGAACGCAAGUUGCGCCCGAAGCCAUCUGGUCGAGGGCACGUCUGCCUGGGUGUCACGCA